CCUACGGGAGGCAGCAGUGGGGAAUAUUGCGCAAUGGGCGAAAGCCUGACGCAGCGACGCCGCGUGAGGGAUGAAGGUCUUCGGAUCGUAAACCUCUGUCAGCAGGGAAGAACGGUCACUGUGCUAAUCAGCAGUGAAUUGACGGUACCUGCAAAGGAAGCACCAGCUAACUCCGUGCCAGCAGCCGCGGUAAGACGGAGGGUGCGAGCGUUAAUCGGAAUUACUGGGCGUAAAGCGCUCGUAGGCGGUAUGUCAAGUCAAGGGUGAAAUCCCCGGGCUCAACGUGGGAACUGCCUUUGAAACUGGCAAACUGGAGUGUGUGAGAGGAUAGUGGAAUUCGAGGUGUAGGAGUGAAAUGCGUAGAUAUCUGGAGGAACAUCAGUGGCGAAGGCGACUAUCUGGCACAUAACUGACGCUGAGGAGCGAAAGCGUGGGUAGCAAACAGGAUUAGAUACCCCAGUAGUC
RNAcentral lists this ribosomal RNA (465 nucleotides) under uncultured bacterium. Its description in RNAcentral is "partial 16S ribosomal RNA". It matches the Rfam family "Bacterial small subunit ribosomal RNA", at positions 338 to 795 of the family's 1533-position model. The record is from RNAcentral.